Molecule: ribosomal RNA, 387 nt
Filed under: Triticum aestivum (bread wheat)
Lineage: Eukaryota; Viridiplantae; Streptophyta; Magnoliopsida; Poales; Poaceae
Description: partial small subunit ribosomal RNA
Source: RNAcentral
AUGCCCCUUGUCUACUUUGGCGGCGGGUUCCUCCUGGCCGCGAUGAUGCCCGAGGCUGGCCGCUACACCCACAAGAAGGAUGACGGCAUCUACAACAGCAAAUGCUGCUGCAAAGAUAUUAGUGUGGUGGUCAUUGUGUGCAUGCAAUUAACCAGGACAACGAGUGCGGCGAUGAGUCCGACCAGGGCGUGCUGGCAGAGGAGGCCCAGGAGCUCGCCGCCCCUGAUGGCGAGGGCGUGCCCGACUUGGAUGGUGGCCGCCAAGGACAACGCCAGUGAGGACGUCGUCCCGGAGUUCAUUGAUGGCCUCAUCCCAUUUGACAAGCUAAAUGUUGUUCAUGUGGAGGGUGGCUUUGUGAAGGAUGGGGAGGUGGGAGAAGAACUCUGA